AGUGAACGCUGGCGGUAGGCCUAACACAUGCAAGUCGAACGGCAGCACAGUAAGAGCUUGCUCUUACGGGUGGCGAGUGGCGGACGGGUGAGGACUACAUCGGAAUCUACUUUUUCGUGGGGGAUAACGUAGGGAAACUUACGCUAAUACCGCAUACGACCUACGGGUGAAAGCAGGGGAUCUUCGGACCUUGCGCGAUUGAAUGAGCCGAUGUCGGAUUAGCUAGUUGGCGGGGUUAAGGCCCACCAAGGCGACGAUCCGUAGCUGGUCUGAGAGGAUGAUCAGCCACACUGGAACUGAGACACGGUCCAGACUCCUACGGGAGGCAGCAGUGGGGAAUAUUGGACAAUGGGCGCAAGCCUGAUCCAGCCAUACCGCGUGGGUGAAGAAGGCCUUCGGAUUUUAAAGCCCUUUUGUUGGGAAAGAAAAGCAGCAGGUUAAUACCCCGCUGUUCUGACGGUACCCAAAGAAUAAGCACCGGCUAACUUCGUG
RNAcentral lists this ribosomal RNA (492 nucleotides) under uncultured bacterium. Its description in RNAcentral is "partial 16S ribosomal RNA". It matches the Rfam family "Bacterial small subunit ribosomal RNA", at positions 29 to 507 of the family's 1533-position model. The record is from RNAcentral.